CUAAGGAUAGUAUCGAUCAACAUUCCUUCUAUAUCUCUUUUCUGUCUUCUUUGAACAGCAACGAAUUUCUUCAUCUUUAAGAUCCAAAAUGCUCUAUAAUCUCCAAAAUGCUCUAUAAUUUCCACAAUGCUCCAAAACACACCUAAACAUGAAAAAACUCUAAAAUAGACUCCAAACACAAAUAAUAGACUUUAAAAAGAACUUAUACUAUGGCUAAAAACUUAUACUAUGGCUAAAAAUUAAUAAAAUUCAUAGUAUAUCCACUCCCCCAGACUUAUCAUCUGCUCGCCCUCAA
Molecule: long non-coding RNA, 295 nt
Filed under: Brassica napus (rape)
Lineage: Eukaryota; Viridiplantae; Streptophyta; Magnoliopsida; Brassicales; Brassicaceae
Description: long non-coding RNA (BNAP_LNC015675)
Source: RNAcentral